This is a non-coding RNA of Microcebus murinus (gray mouse lemur), 887 nucleotides long. The record is from RefSeq and is a predicted model, not a curated record. Lineage: Eukaryota; Metazoa; Chordata; Mammalia; Primates; Cheirogaleidae.
AAGAAGAGUACAGCAACUAUUUGCACCUCAAUAACUCACUGCCAAUUUUUACCCCUACAUAACCACAAGGAAAUCACACCCAUGCAACAUUUUAGUGGUUGCUAUGGGACUAACUGUGACAUCAACACAGCAUCAUGUAAGAGCAAUGAUAGGACAGGGGAAGCAACAAAGGGGGACUGUUAGCUGCUUGAAGAGGGUAAGAAUUAUAACUAGCUAGAAAAGCCUUAUGAGAGAAUUUUCAGGGUUAGCAGAAGAUUUAAAAUUUUUUACCCAACAAUCUGAUAAAAAGAAUGGGAUGGCCUAGAAGUACUUAAACUGAGCAGACUGGCUGAAGAUCUUGUGGCCACCUAAUAGCCAGAUCCUGAUGGGAAUCUAGGAAUAUGUGACAAUUUAUCUAAAAAACUAGGAAGGAACAAAGAAGAAACCCAGGUGAGAGAAAGAUACGUUUUACAAUGAAGAUGUAAAUGAUCUGAAAAAGAAUAAUGAUGAGGAUAAAAUAUGUCAGACUAUUGGAUCACUGAGAGAUGUCAACCAAAAGAAACACUAGAGAGUAAGUCUAUCAGUUUUUCCAGCAUCUUCUCAGGAGUUGCUAUUUGAAAUACAUAUUGGAUUGUUAUUAUGCUUCCUAUUAUAUAUGAAAACCUUUCCACUAUAUUCAAAUUUCAAGAGGAGCUUGAAGAGCAUGAGGGCCCACAUAAAAGUAUAAAAAAAUGAGUAUAGACUUAAACUCUAUCAAAAACAGAUAUCUAGAACACAAAUUUCUUUUUACCUUUGGCUUUUACAUUAAACAUCUCCAAAUAAAGAAUCAAAUCUCAGUGUUUUAAAAAAGAGUUACUUUUCAUUGAUACAUAUAUUUUAUAUAUUUGUGGGGUACAUGUAUUUGUUCU